RNAcentral lists this unclassified non-coding RNA (328 nucleotides) under soil metagenome. Its description in RNAcentral is "partial contains 5.8S ribosomal RNA, internal transcribed spacer 2, and large subunit ribosomal RNA". The stretch from base 1 to 120 matches the Rfam family "5.8S ribosomal RNA", at positions 35 to 154 of the family's 154-position model. The record is from RNAcentral.
GAUGAAGAACGUAGCGAAAUGCGAUAAGUAAUGUGAAUUGCAGAAUUCAGUGAAUCAUCGAAUCUUUGAACGCACAUUGCGCCCGCCAGUAUUCUGGCGGGCAUGCCUGUUCGAGCGUCAUUUCAACCAUCAAGCCCUGCUUGCGUUGGGGUCCUGCGGCUGCCCGCAGGCCCUGAAAACCAGUGGCGGGCUCGCUAGUCACACCGAGCGCAGUAAUACAUCUCGCUUUGGGCGUGCGGCGGGUUCUUGCCGUUAAACACCCCCUUUUUACCAAGGUUGACCUCGGAUCAGGUAGGAAUACCCGCUGAACUUAAGCAUAUCAAUAAGA